AAGAAGUCAGGCCAGAUUAAGCCAUAGUACGGAAAGAGCUAUGCUGCCUGUGAGCCCCGUCCAAGGACGUAAAAUGAAGUCAGGCCGAAAGCCACGGAUUGAGCAA
RNAcentral lists this long non-coding RNA (106 nucleotides) under dengue virus type 1. RNAcentral describes it as "dengue virus type I partial sfRNA1". The record is from RNAcentral. Lineage: Riboviria; Orthornavirae; Kitrinoviricota; Flasuviricetes; Amarillovirales; Flaviviridae.